ACACAGGUAUGGGAUCACAAUUUUUGCUUGUAUUUCACUUCCAGUUUCCAACGUCUUUCUUUGACAAACCCUGUGUAUGGGAACUGUUGUGUCACAGCCUGAAGCACUGAUUGAGCACCUGGGGAAAGUCAGUCCUGGGAGCACAGGUGAGGGCAAUUCAGCUGUGUGGCUGGAGGGGUGGAACCUGGCUCCUCAUUUAGACCUCAUUUAAGGACUGACUGUCACUGGGGAAGAAUCUCUGGUUGGAGAUCUCUCCUAGGUGAAGCCUCUUCCUGCAAGCCUAGCAUCUUCUGAUACAAAGAAUCUUGAGCUGCAUCUACCUUUCCCUGUGUUGUUCUCCAUCGAACUGGGAUCAAAAGCAGAUGAAGACACAAGCAUUAUUACUUCUUUCCACUGUGAGAGUGUUUUCAAUAAAUGAAAUUUAAUUGCUGAUGGCAUGAGUCCUACUGCUGGUAUCUCGGUGAAGAGAGGGUAAAGAUGUUGGGGAGUCAGUGUCUUCAGAGCCCGAAGAAGUGAAAGCACUGUUCAGAGCACUGCAGUACAGAAACGGAAUUUGUACAACGACAGCGAGCGCGACCCACGCGUAAACGCCUGAGGGAAGGCCGGGAGGCCGCACGGGACCUUCCAGCUGCAGGCCCGCGGCCGGCCGACAUUUCCUAAAGGACGCGCGAAGCAGAACGGCGCGUAGCCGCGCUCCGUCACACCGCGCGCCACUUCAUGACACCCGCUCGGACCUCCCCGCGCCGCACUCACGGCGGGGCCGUUCCCAGCCGGCCCGAGCAUCGGCACCGCGCGGCCCCGGCCCGCCCCGCGC
Tympanuchus pallidicinctus (lesser prairie-chicken) is the source of this 814-nucleotide long non-coding RNA. RefSeq lists it as uncharacterized. The transcript has 3 exons. NCBI's taxonomy places the organism in Eukaryota, Metazoa, Chordata, Aves, Galliformes, Phasianidae. The record is from RefSeq and is a predicted model, not a curated record.